RNAcentral lists this ribosomal RNA (260 nucleotides) under uncultured bacterium. RNAcentral's name for it is "partial 16S ribosomal RNA". It matches the Rfam family "Bacterial small subunit ribosomal RNA", at positions 524 to 776 of the family's 1533-position model. The record is from RNAcentral.
UACGAAGGGGGGCUAGCGUUGCUCGGAAUUACUGGGCGUAAAGGGCGCGUAGGCGGCGCCUGUUAGUCAGGCGUGAAAUUCCUGGGCUCAACCUGGGGACUGCGCUUGAGUACGGCGAGUGCUUGAGGAUGGAAGAGGCUCGCGGAAUUCCCAGUGUAGAGGUGAAAUUCGUAGAUAUCUGGAGGAACAACAGUGGCGAAGGCGGCUCUCUGGACUGUUACUGACACUAAAGGCGGCGAAAAGCGUGGGGAGCGAACAGG